RNAcentral lists this RNase P RNA (425 nucleotides) under Ignavibacteriales bacterium. RNAcentral describes it as "RNase P RNA component class A". It matches the Rfam family "Bacterial RNase P class A". From Rfam's summary of the family: Ribonuclease P (RNase P) is a ubiquitous endoribonuclease, found in archaea, bacteria and eukarya as well as chloroplasts and mitochondria. Its best characterised activity is the generation of mature 5'-ends of tRNAs by cleaving the 5'-leader elements of precursor-tRNAs. Cellular RNase Ps are ribonucleoproteins. Lineage: Bacteria; Pseudomonadati; Ignavibacteriota; Ignavibacteria; Ignavibacteriales. The record is from RNAcentral.
UGGCAAAAGUUAGGCAAUUGCUACAUAAUAAGCUAAUAUUAUGUAGAGGAAAGUCCGAACUCCGCAGGACAAAAAGCCAGGUAACUCCUGGGGUUGAUUGAUGCGAAUCAGUUGGUACGGAAAGUGCCACAGAAAAAAUACCGUCCCAAUUUGAUUGGGAUAAGGGUGAAAAGGCAGGGUAAGAGCCUACCGCUUUGGUAGUAAUAUCAAAGGUUCUUUGAAAGAAAUAUUCUUAUAGAAUAUCAAGGCAAACCCCUUUCGGAGCAAGAUCAAGUAGAAGGUUUUCCUUUUAGGAACAAGGUUGUCCACCUUGCAAUACCUUCGGGUAGAUCGCUAGAACUUUGAAGCGAUUCAAAGUCAAGACAAAUAAUUGCCGUUCCGAUUAGUCGGAAAAACAGAAUUCGGCUUAUUAACUUUGCCAUUAU